Molecule: long non-coding RNA, 1110 nt
Organism: Papaver somniferum (opium poppy)
Lineage: Eukaryota; Viridiplantae; Streptophyta; Magnoliopsida; Ranunculales; Papaveraceae
Exons: 2
Source: RefSeq, a predicted model, not a curated record
CUCAUUUUCCCCUUAUCGAGUAAACCCACUGUUUCUAUUCUCCCCGUCACUAUCUUUUUUUUCCCUUCUCAUCGCUUCCGCUGAAGAGAUUAGGGUUUCAUGUGUUAAUCGAUAUUCAAUCUGUUAAGAGAUUAUAGUCUUAAACCAGUUUCUAUCUGUGCAAGUCCUUCCGAUUUACGGUUAAAUCGUCUGUUUUUUCAUUUUCAUUUCAGGGUUUUUCAUUAAGAAGUCUUCAAUCUUAGUUUUUCAUCUUCAAUUAUCUGAUAAAUCUUAGUAUUUCAUCUUGAUCUAAUGCAAUUUAUUUUUCCUAAUUUUAUUUCAGGGUUUUAUCUGAUGAAGAACCGAAGAACUGAUAUGAAAUCUCAGCUUUUUUAAUGGGUUUGUAAAAUUUUCAAGUAAUCAUGGCAACACAAUUGAGUAAGAAACGAAAGGCUGAAAUCAAUUGUUGAUUUGAUGGCUGCAAUUUUUAAUGAUAUUGAACGAUGGUGUCUGUAUUGAAGACCUGUUCAAUUUCAGAAAUGAAGAAUUGGAAGAAGAUUUGUUAGAUGGAUGUCUGCGAGAAGAUGCAGGAUAUUUGGUUAGGUCAUAAUAUAGAAGAUUGUGUUUGAGUUCGAUUCUGGAUUUGGUAGCAAGAUGAGUUCUGUUGUUCAAUUCUUCUGUAAAUGGAGACAAUAAGGGAAUUUGUUCUACUGUUGGUGAAGAUUCGGAUGAAGGACAUGAAGGAUGUGUAUUUUCUGGUCAGCUGAGAGUAUGAGUUCUGAGUAUGGGUGAGAAUUUGGGUUGUGUUUGAUGCCUAAAUUACAAGACAGGAAGAUGGAGUUGCUGCUAUGGAUAUGCAUAUGGGUUGAAAGAUAUUUCUGAAGAUUAAAGACAUGGAUUUGAAGUUCAUACAAGGGCUGAGUCAAAGAUUUUUGUGGAGAGAAAUUAUGGGCGAGAGAGAUUACAAAAUGAAAAGAAUAAGGAUUUUUUUUGGGGGGGAAAUGAAAAGAAAAUUAAAAUGAAAAAAAAAAAAGAAAAGAAAAUUUUCUAAAUUAGAUAUAAAGAUUAAUAAUUGAAGUUGCUAAUAAGUCCUAAAAGAUUAAAAAUUUACAAGUAUGCCAUAUUCUAACA